Molecule: ribosomal RNA, 135 nt
Filed under: Faecalibacterium prausnitzii
Lineage: Bacteria; Bacillati; Bacillota; Clostridia; Eubacteriales; Oscillospiraceae
Description: partial 16S ribosomal RNA
Rfam family: Bacterial small subunit ribosomal RNA
Source: RNAcentral
UUUAUAAAGAGUUUGAUCCUGGCUCAGGACGAACGCUGGCGGCGCGCCUAACACAUGCAAGUCGAACGAGAGAGAGGAAGCUUACUUCCUCAAUCGAGUGGCGAACGGGUGAGUAACGCGUGAGGAACCUGCCUC